RNAcentral lists this unclassified non-coding RNA (200 nucleotides) under Glomeromycotina sp. RNAcentral describes it as "partial contains small subunit ribosomal RNA, internal transcribed spacer 1, and 5.8S ribosomal RNA". The stretch from base 1 to 47 matches the Rfam family "Eukaryotic small subunit ribosomal RNA", at positions 1785 to 1831 of the family's 1831-position model. The record is from RNAcentral. Lineage: Eukaryota; Fungi; Glomeromycota.
AAAGUCGUAACAAGGUUUCCGUAGGUGAACCUGCGGAAGGAUCAUUAAAAAAACGGGGAGGCGUGUUCUUGUUUUUCUUGGAAUCAGAACACGUUUUCUUUUAGUAAUCAAACUCUUUAUUUUUUGUUUCGGAAUCCGGCUAUUGCAUGCUAGAUUCAAAAAUCUAAUCUAAACUUUCAACAAUGGAUCUCUUGGCUCUU